CCAAACUUGGUCAUUUAGAGGAAGUAAAAGUCGUAACAAGGUUUCCGUAGGUGAACCUGCGGAAGGAUCAUUAACGAAUUGUAAGGACUUUGCUGUGCUGGCUCUCUUUAUGGGAGCAUGUGCACGCAGAGUUUAAACUUUUCACUUUAACCCCCUGUGCACUUUUGUGGAUUGUGAAUGGAUAACUCUUGUCAAAGUAACAUUUGGUUUUGGGGAUCGCGCACUUUUUGCUCUGCGCUUUCCUCUACAUCCGUUCACAAUUCAUGUCUUUAUUACAAACUAUAUAUUAAACCUAGAAUGCUUAACGAGUUGGGAACUUUUGUAACCCUUCUUAAAUCUUAUACAACUUUCAACAACGGAUCUCUUGGCUCUCGCAUCGAUGAAGAACGCAGC
This 393-nucleotide unclassified non-coding RNA is filed under the name uncultured fungus. Its description in RNAcentral is "partial contains small subunit ribosomal RNA, internal transcribed spacer 1, and 5.8S ribosomal RNA". The stretch from base 1 to 73 matches the Rfam family "Eukaryotic small subunit ribosomal RNA", at positions 1759 to 1831 of the family's 1831-position model. The record is from RNAcentral. Lineage: Eukaryota; Fungi.